Molecule: transfer RNA, 66 nt
Filed under: Rickettsiales bacterium Ac37b
Lineage: Bacteria; Pseudomonadati; Pseudomonadota; Alphaproteobacteria; Rickettsiales
Rfam family: tRNA
About the family: Transfer RNA (tRNA) molecules are approximately 80 nucleotides in length. Their secondary structure includes four short double-helical elements and three loops (D, anti-codon, and T loops).
Source: Rfam by way of RNAcentral
CGGAGCGUAGCGCAGCCUGGUAGCGCAUCAGACUGGGGGUCGUGGGUUCAAAUCCCGCCGUUCCGA